UUAAGUUAUUAAGGGCGCACGGUGGAUGCCUUGGCACUAGAAGCCGAAGAAGGACGUUACUAACGACGAUAUGCUUUGGGUAGCUGUAAGUAAGCGUUGAUCCAGAGAUUUCCGAAUGGGGGAACCCAACAUGAGUUAUGUCAUGUUAUCGACAUGUGAAUUCAUAGCAUGUCAGAAGGCAGACCCGGAGAACUGAAACAUCUUAGUACCCGGAGGAAGAGAAAGAAAAAUCGAUUCCCUGAGUAGCGGCGAGCGAAACGGGAAGAGCCCAAACCAACAAGCUUGCUUGUUGGGGUUGUAGGACACUCUAUACGGAGUUACAAAAGAACAUGUUAGACGAAUCAUCUGGAAAGAUGAAUCAAAGAAGGUAAUAAUCCUGUAGUCGAAAACAUAUUCUCUCUUGAGUGGAUCCUGAGUACGACGGAGCACGUGAAAUUCCGUCGGAAUCUAGGAGGACCAUCUCCUAAGGCUAAAUACUCUCUAGUGACCGAUAGUGAACCAGUACCGUGAGGGAAAGGUGAAAAGUACCCCGGAAGGGGAGUGAAAGAGAACUUGAAACCGUGUGCUUACAAGUAGUCAGAGCCCGUUUAUGGGUGAUGGCGUGCCUUUUGUAGAAUGAACCGGCGAGUUACGAUCUGAUGCAAGGUUAAGCAGCGAAUGUGGAGCCGUAGCGAAAGCGAGUCUGAAUAGGGCGUUGAGUAUUUGGUCGUAGACCCGAAACCAGGUGAUCUACCCUUGGUCAGGUUGAAGUUCAGGUAACACUGAAUGGAGGACCGAACCGACUUACGUUGAAAAGUGAGCGGAUGAACUGAGGGUAGCGGAGAAAUUCCAAUCGAACUUGGAGAUAGCUGGUUCUCUCCGAAAUAGCUUUAGGGCUAGCCUCAAGUGAUGAUUAUUGGAGGUAGAGCACUGUUUGGACGAGGGGCCCCUCUCGGGUUACCGAAUUCAGACAAACUCCGAAUGCCAAUCAAUUUAACUUGGGAGUCAGAACAUGGGUGAUAAGGUCCGUGUUCGAAAGGGAAACAGCCCAGACCACCAGCUAAGGUCCCAAAAUAUAUGUUAAGUGGAAAAGGAUGUGGCGUUGCCCAGACAACUAGGAUGUUGGCUUAGAAGCAGCCAUCAUUUAAAGAGUGCGUAAUAGCUCACUAGUCGAGUGACACUGCGCCGAAAAUGUACCGGGGCUAAACAUAUUACCGAAGCUGUGGAUUGUCCUUCGGACAAUGGUAGGAGAGCGUUCUAAGGGCGUUGAAGCAUGAUCGCAAGGACAUGUGGAGCGCUUAGAAGUGAGAAUGCCGGUGUGAGUAGCGAAAGACGGGUGAGAAUCCCGUCCACCGAUUGACUAAGGUUUCCAGAGGAAGGCUCGUCCGCUCUGGGUUAGUCGGGUCCUAAGCUGAGGCCGACAGGCGUAGGCGAUGGAUAACAGGUUGAUAUUCCUGUACCACCUAGUAUCGUUUUAAUCGAUGGGGGGACGCAGUAGGAUAGGCGAAGCGUGCUGUUGGAGUGCACGUCCAAGCAGUAAGGCUGAGUGUUAGGCAAAUCCGGCACUCGUUAGGCUGAGCUGUGAUGGGGAGAGGAAAUUGUUUCCUCGAGUCGUUGAUUUCACACUGCCGAGAAAAGCCUCUAGAUAGAUAACAGGUGCCCGUACCGCAAACCGACACAGGUAGUCAAGAUGAGAAUUCUAAGGUGAGCGAGCGAACUCUCGUUAAGGAACUCGGCAAAAUGACCCCGUAACUUCGGGAGAAGGGGUGCUCUUUAGGGUUCACGCCCAGAAGAGCCGCAGUGAAUAGGCCCAAGCGACUGUUUAUCAAAAACACAGGUCUCUGCUAAACCGUAAGGUGAUGUAUAGGGGCUGACGCCUGCCCGGUGCUGGAAGGUUAAGAGGAGUGGUUAGCUUCUGCGAAGCCACGAAUCGAAGCCCCAGUAAACGGCGGCCGUAACUAUAACGGUCCUAAGGUAGCGAAAUUCCUUGUCGGGUAAGUUCCGACCCGCACGAAAGGCGUAACGAUUUGGGCACUGUCUCAACGAGAGACUCGGUGAAAUCAUAGUACCUGUGAAGAUGCAGGUUACCCGCGACAGGACGGAAAGACCCCGUGGAGCUUUACUGUAGCCUGAUAUUGAAAUUCGGCACAGCUUGUACAGGAUAGGUAGGAGCCAUUGAAACGUGAGCGCUAGCUUACGUGGAGGCGUUGGUGGGAUACUACCCUAGCUGUGUUGGCUUUCUAACCCGCACCACUUAUCGUGGUGGGAGACAGUGUCAGGCGGGCAGUUUGACUGGGGCGGUCGCCUCCUAAAAGGUAACGGAGGCGCUCAAAGGUUCCCUCAGAAUGGUUGGAAAUCAUUCACAGAGUGUAAAGGCAUAAGGGAGCUUGACUGCGAGACCUACAAGUCGAGCAGGGUCGAAAGACGGACUUAGUGAUCCGGUGGUUCCGCAUGGAAGGGCCAUCGCUCAACGGAUAAAAGCUACCCCGGGGAUAACAGGCUUAUCUCCCCCAAGAGUUCACAUCGACGGGGAGGUUUGGCACCUCGAUGUCGGCUCAUCGCAUCCUGGGGCUGUAGUCGGUCCCAAGGGUUGGGCUGUUCGCCCAUUAAAGCGGUACGCGAGCUGGGUUCAGAACGUCGUGAGACAGUUCGGUCCCUAUCCGUCGUGGGCGUAGGAAAUUUGAGAGGAGCUGUCCUUAGUACGAGAGGACCGGGAUGGACAUACCUCUGGUGUACCAGUUGUCGUGCCAACGGCAUAGCUGGGUAGCUAUGUAUGGACGGGAUAAGUGCUGAAAGCAUCUAAGCAUGAAGCCCCCCUCAAGAUGAGAUUUCCCAACUUCGGUUAUAAGAUCCCUCGAAGAUGACGAGGUUAAUAGGUUCGAGGUGGAAGCGUGGUGACACGUGGAGCUGACGAAUACUAAUCGAUCGAAGACUUAAUC
This 2918-nucleotide ribosomal RNA is filed under the name Staphylococcus capitis. RNAcentral's name for it is "23S ribosomal RNA". It matches the Rfam family "Bacterial large subunit ribosomal RNA". Lineage: Bacteria; Bacillati; Bacillota; Bacilli; Caryophanales; Staphylococcaceae. RNAcentral also lists the same sequence under 1 other name. The record is from RNAcentral.